Molecule: long non-coding RNA, 1379 nt
Organism: Nicotiana attenuata
Lineage: Eukaryota; Viridiplantae; Streptophyta; Magnoliopsida; Solanales; Solanaceae
Exons: 2
Source: RefSeq, a predicted model, not a curated record
UCAUUUUUACUACAGUAUAUUUUUUUUUUAGAUUGAUGAUUCAGUCAUUUGGAUUUUGUAAAUUAUUUUUUUUAGAGGAAAAGGAAAAAAAUCAAGAAGACGAAUUCUUCAUAGAUUUGUUCUGCUCCAAAGUCAGAGUUUUCAGAAAGUCUGAAUAUUUCACCUAGAUGCUCAUUUGACUAUAUAGCCCCUGCUGUACUCCCAGGGUCCCACAUUUUUCCUUUUGGAAUUGAUGGGUUGUAUGGACAUUUCAGCUGAUUUCAGGGUUUUACCAGUCCUUUGAUUGCUUGCAGCCCUGAGUUCUGGAGUCCUGAAUCUGCAGUCUCUUUAUGAAGGGUAGUUUAGGAAUUUUAAAUAUUAAGGUCCAAUCGUUAAUUCACGGAAGUACAACCCCAAGGCCUUGAUGUAUCACUAUCAGAGGUCAAAUCUCACAAAUGAAAAAAGUUACGCACUUAGUUCCAUUUAGGUGGUGGAGACAUUAAAACUUUUGAAACUUGUAUGCCACGAGAUUUAUGUGGCUAUAAAAGCAUAGUUUAAAGUUGAAUUGUUUUUAAAUUAUGAAGUUGUCAUUCGUUUUGGAAUGAAAUAAAUAAAUAGUGCCACAUAAGAGAGAACAGAGCGAGUAGGUUACUUAUGGACUAUCUGAGUUACAGCAUUGUAUGGAAGAAAAAUUUUUGAGGCUGUAGAGCGUGUGGGGAAAUCAAUUUUGGAUGUGAUGUGGAGAAAGGCUGUUGAUGGACUAGGAGGUGAGGGGGUAACGUGUUUGCUGGAAUUGCAGUUUAAUCAUAGAGUUGACAUUAUAAUUGGAUAUGGACACCCUUUCUCAAAAGUUGUUGGGAUGGUAGGGUUACAAUUAUGUAAUAUUUUGAUGGUGCCGUCAUUCUAUGUUGUUUAUGCCUUUAUGGCUUGUUUUGGCAAUUGGGUUAUGUCCAAUUCUUAUGGGUAUGUUUGGAUACUUUUAUCAUUAACAUGUGGGGCUUUAGUGGACAUGGUGCCUGAGUCUUGAUCAACAGGAUGAGAGGGAGGACCAACUUAAAAUGAUUUUUGUGGCUGAAAGUUGAAAAUGUGCCAUUUGAGAAUAACCAAGAUGAUGACAAAUAGGAUUUUGAAUUUUUCAAGUGGGUGUCAAAUGUAGCCUAAAUAAGGAAAACUAGAGGUCGAGCACAGAUGUGGUUGGAGCGUGUAAAUGAGUUUUGAAAACUUUUAUUGAUAUAUGGAGAACGAUUAUAAUUAGGAUUAAUGGGGAGCUUUUUUAUGUGGGAACAAUUAUAAUUGAACUCAAUAAAUAAGUAUUAAUGGCUACUCAAUAUGCUAUUUCAGAACAUUGAAUAAGUUCAGAAUGUCUCAGUCAAUUAGAGAAUGUCCUCACUUUCUGGAAA